AGCUCUAAAUUGGAGCCACUCAAGGCCAGCCGGGGCUCCUUGUACCAGGACAUAUGAUAGUUACGAAUGCUUGUUGCUUUCACUAUGGGCUCUCUGGGAGGACAGAGGGAGCAGACGGUAGCACUAUUAAGAUGCAUUUUCUUUUCAAGGGAUAUUGGCUCAGCACUAACUCAACAUGGAAACCGUGUCUUCUUUUAUUUCCACGCUGCAGCCCCAGAAGAAGCCUGCUCUCCAUGCCGUAUCAAGCACAGUCUCAAACCAGCAGCUCUCAGAAGGCUGCACAGAAGGUGGGACAAAUGGAAGCAAGAACAACUGCAGCCACAGUGCAAAGGCAACCUCACUCCCAGCUGAGAAGACCUGGGUUUGAUGGUGGUGCUGAUGCCUUCAGGGAUCUCUGAUCAUUUCACCUUUCCUUUGUUUCAUCUUUCACCGCUUAACUGUAAGAGGUCAGAAGCUGUAUGCAUCUUGCCUUUACAUUUUUCCUAGCCUAAGCAAGUCAAGACCAGACCCUACAUAGAAGAAAAAAAACAUCUGGGGACAGAUUUAUUUUAAAAGUAUGUCCACCCACAUCCCCCCAAUAAUUCAGUGAUGAUGGUUUCCUACAUAAAGACUUGCACAGAUUCA
Molecule: long non-coding RNA, 624 nt
Organism: Aquila chrysaetos chrysaetos
Lineage: Eukaryota; Metazoa; Chordata; Aves; Accipitriformes; Accipitridae
Exons: 3
Source: RefSeq, a predicted model, not a curated record